This is a long non-coding RNA of Solanum tuberosum (potato), 1313 nucleotides long. RefSeq lists it as uncharacterized. The transcript has 2 exons. The record is from RefSeq and is a predicted model, not a curated record. NCBI's taxonomy places the organism in Eukaryota, Viridiplantae, Streptophyta, Magnoliopsida, Solanales, Solanaceae.
AGUAGUAUUUAUCCUAAUUCUUGUAUUAUUAUUUUGAUAUUCUAUUUUCCCCAUCUACACAUAUUUUCCAACAAUCUAAGAAACCAUGACAAAUAAUAAUACUUCUGAAACUAUUUCUGACACUACCAAUGUCGUUGCUACCCCUGUUUCUCCAGUUCCAAUUGUCCUACCAUAUGCCAAACAAUUGCCCGAUGAGUCAAAUAUUGAUAUUUUUGCAAAUGAAAAUUUCAAAAGGUGGAAGAACAUGUUUUUUCAUUGCUCGAUGUUCAUGGCGUUGCACAUGUAUAAUUACAUCCACAACUGGUCCAGACGUUGAUAACAAAAUUAUGGAAUCAUGAUGACAACAUGCUAACAAGGUAUGUCGUCAUACUAUAUUACAAACUAUUUCUAACAUACUUUUUGAUGUAUACUGUAGCUACAAAGAAGCAAAAGUUAUUUGGGAAGCCUUAAUUAAGUAGUUCACUGCAGAAGAUGCUACCAAACAAAAGUUUGUGGUCGAAAGAUUUUACCAAUGCCAGAUGAGUAAUGAAAGGAGAUGAAAAUUCAAAUCAAUGAAUAUCAAAAAUUGCUUGAAGACUUGAAGGCCGAGGAGAUCAUUCUACCAGAAAAACUUGUUGUUGGAGUGUUGAUUGAGAAAUAGCCGGACUCAUGAAAUGAUUACAAUAAUAACUUAAAGCAUAAGCAAACAAAUUUCACUAUUAAGAAAAUAGUGAUUCACAUUCUAAUCGAAGACACCAACAGAAAGGAGUCAUUCAAAGCAAAGAAGUAGGCAUUCAAAGCAAACUUAGUACAAGGUCAUAACAUCAACAACAAAAGGAGGAGAAUAAAAAAUGACAAAGAAAAGGAUUAUCCUCCUAAGGCUAAUUUAGCUGAAGGAGAUGAAAUUAUUGCAGGUGUCAUUUCUCAAGUAAAUAUUGUAGCACAUGUAAAAGAAUGGGUGGUAUUCUCUGGGGCUACUCGGCACAUUUGUACAAAUCGAGAAGCAUUUGCCUCCUAUAUAUUGAUAGGGGAUGACAAUGAAGUAGUCUACCUUGAAGACUCAAGAACUAUUAAAGUGUUGAGUAAGGGUAAAGUGCUCUUGAAACUUACUUCAGGAAAAACUUUAGCCCUUAUGGAUGUACUACAUGUUCCUACAAUGCGUCCUGAUUUCUGUAGCCUUGCUUAAUAAAGUUAGAGUGAAAGUGUCAUUUGAAUGUGAAAAAGAUCAUAUUGACCAAAAAUAAUGUGUUUGUGGGAAAAGACUAUUGCAAACUAGGGAUUUUUGUACUUUAUGUUUGUAAUGUUGUGAAUGAAAAAACAUCCAUUUCUACUUA